GAUGAACGCUGGCGGCGUGCCUAAUACAUGCAAGUCGAGCGAAUGGAUUAAGAGCUUGCUCUUAUGAAGUUAGCGGCGGACGGGUGAGUAACACGUGGGUAACCUGCCCAUAAGACUGGGAUAACUCCGGGAAACCGGGGCUAAUACCGGAUAACAUUUUGAACCGCAUGUUUCGAAAUUGAAAGGCGGCGUCGGCUGUCACUUAUGGAUGGACCCGCGUCGCAUUAGCUAGUUGGUGAGGUAACGGCUCACCAAGGCAACGAUGCGUAGCCGACCUGAGAGGGUGAUCGGCCACACUGGGACUGAGACACGGCCCAGACUCCUACGGGAGGCAGCAGUAGGGAAUCUUCCGCAAUGGACGAAAGUCUGACGGAGCAACGCCGCGUGAGUGAUGAAGGCUUUCGGGUCGUAAAACUCUGUUGUUAGGGAAGAACAAGUGCUAGUUGAAUAAGCUGGCACCUUGACGGUACCUAACCAGAAAGCCACGGCUAACUACGUGCCAGCCGCCGCGGUAA
RNAcentral lists this ribosomal RNA (515 nucleotides) under uncultured bacterium. RNAcentral's name for it is "partial 16S ribosomal RNA". It matches the Rfam family "Bacterial small subunit ribosomal RNA", at positions 28 to 523 of the family's 1533-position model. The record is from RNAcentral.